Molecule: long non-coding RNA, 5156 nt
Organism: Mus musculus (house mouse)
Lineage: Eukaryota; Metazoa; Chordata; Mammalia; Rodentia; Muridae
Product: predicted gene, 39299
Exons: 4
Source: RefSeq, a predicted model, not a curated record
CCCUGCGCAUCCGAGGGCGGCGGUGCCACCCGGGACUGUCGUGAACCCAGACAGUUCUUUUUGCAGACAGGUCCCAACGCACGGUUUGACUCACAACUUGAACUUGGGGUGGGAGGCGGGGAACUAAGACCUCGGGUCUCCUCCAGCCCCCAGGGACCUGCACUGGGCUGGUGCCCUGGUGAGGGAGGCUGGAAAACGCAGCAGGCGGCAGGGCCGGGCGAGGAGCACCCGCGCGGUCGCCUCUCUUCGGUUUCGCACUCUCGCCCCCUCCUGGCGUCCCCGCAUCACCUCCCGCCGCCGCCGCCGCCGCCGUCGCCCUCGGCCGGCGGCCGCCGCCGUCUGGAGGCGGCGAUGACUCAGGCCUUUACCUCGCUGGCCGCUUACGGAGCCGGAAGCUCCCAACCUCGAAGUGCUGGGGGUCCUGAACUGUCUGAACUCCACUGAGAAGCAGGUUCAGCCCCUACCUGACCUCCAGCAAUAGUUGUUCCGGUCUGUCUCAGUUUCCUCAUCUGUAAAGUGGUUCUGGGGGCCUGAUGGGUCAGUGUUCUAUCUGCAUAUACACCUGCUGGCCAGAAGAGGGCAUCAGAGCCACCAUGUGGUCCUGGGACUUGAACUCAGCCGCUCUGGAAGAGCAGCCAGCGCUCUCAGCUGAUGAGCCAUCUCUCCAGCCCCCUCUUUCUUUCUUUUUAUAUUAAAAAUGAUUUGUUUAUUUUUAUUUCAUGUGGACUGGUAUUUUGCCUUAAAGCAUGAAUGUCUGUAGGAGGAGGACAGAUACUUUGGAGUUACAGACACGUGUGAGCUGCUACAUGGGUGCUGGGGAUUGAACCCAGGUCCUCUGGAAGGGCAGCCAGUGCUCUUAACUGUGGAGCCAUCUCUCCAGCCUCACUGUGCUUUUCUUGAGGCUAAUCGGGAUCUCUGGGAUUAGGGAAUGAGGAGUUGUGUAUCCUCUUCACGGCCUUGACUGACUUUACUUUUGACUUCCUUUAUUUUUGUGCAGUGACAUUUUAUAGUUCUGUCUUCUAAGUAGGACUUGGCAUCCAGUAGUACAGAUCAUUAGAACUGUGUGUAAAGGGGCUGGCAAGAUGGCUUAGCAGGUAAAGGAGAUUGCUGCUAAGACUGGCGACCUGAGUUCUAGCCCUAGAACCCAUAUGGUAAGAGGAGAGAACCAACUCCUGCACGCUGUCCUCUGGCCGCCAGAAUCAGACACACGCUCACACUCGGGUAAAUAAAUGAAAUGGUUCAGUGGGUAAAGUGCUUGCCACAUGAAGUAUGAAGACCUGAGUUCUGAUUCCCAAAGCCCGUGUAAAUGUCAGGUGGGCGUGGGCUGCGUAGAACCUCAGCACUCACAUGGUGGGAAUAGGAACUUCAGAGAGAGCUGCCCUGCUAGACUAACCAGAGCAGCAUGUUCCAAGUACGUGGACAGAUCACGCCAAAACAUACAAUAGAAAGCAACCUAGGAAGACCACAGAUGCCAACCUCUGGCCUUCAGAUGCACACUUGGCCACAUACAUGCUAACAUACACAUACCUACACACGGGCGUGGGGGGGGGAGGAACGGGGUGGGGAGGAGCGGGGCAGGAGCCAGAGACUCUAAGUUUACUGGUGUUCAGGUGAACAGCUUUCCAAACACACCUCACCCAAUCUCUUAGCUCCACUCAGGUGUUUCCUGCUUCCUCUUAGACUAGCCUGAGGCACAGAUGUACCAAGCGUAUUGGGGCUGCUGCCACCCUGUGCUUAGUGUGGAUUCUUGGUUCUCUGGAUGUGAGAAAAUCUGUCAGCCCUAGGGUGACCAUACCCAGUCCCGUACUUGGUAAGCUCCAGGCCAGUGAAAGAUCCUCUCUCAACAACACGAAGUGAUGCAGGUGAGAAGAUUCAGAGACUAAGGUAGCUUGGCGCCAAACCUGAAGACCUGAGUUCCAAACAGUGAAAGAGAGAACUGACCCCCGAAGUUGUCGUCUAACCUUGACAUCUCUGACUUCCUGUGGGCACCAAGCUAAGAACUCUCCCCUUCCUAAAUAAAUAAAUGUGAUUAAAAUUUAAAAACAAAAUAAAGCCAGAGGGUGGUGGCGCACGCCUUUAAUCCUAGCACUACGGGGGCUGAGGCUGGCAGAGUUCUGUGACUUCGAGGACAGCCAGGUCUACAGAGUGAAUUCCUAGACAGCUAGGGCUACACGGGGAAACCCUGUCUUGGAAAACCAAAACCAAACAAACAGUACCAACAACAAAACCAAGUGGAGUGCUUGUGAGGAGCCCUAACCAAGGUAUGUCUGUUAAAUGUAUGCCCGCACAGGCGGGCGUGCACACACUCACACAAGCACACACACCCCUCGCGUCCUGCACAAACCUCACUCCACCACUAGGUGUCGCCCCAGCUCCUCAGUUUUGAGCCCAGCCCCAGGAGGUUCCUCACGCAGUUUGUCCUGAUUUCCCCGCCCCCAGACAAGCUGGGAGGUUAACACCUUGAUAGGAUAAGGAAGUUCAGCUCGGCUCUGAGUAGCAGCGCCCUUCCGUGGAAUUUCAGCCUCUGCUGACACCCGUGAUCUCAGGCACCUCCCUGGGCACAGGGGUUCCCACUUCUCCAGUGGUCUGCUUUCUGAAGUUUCAGAUAACAACAGAAAAUAUUCUGUGAAAAAGUCCAGAACUGUAAUGUCUGGUAUGUGACCCACUAAACACACAGACUGCAAACUUCUGGAAUAGAGGUUGACCUUGAACUCCGGAUUUGACACCAUAGUUGGUUCUGUGUGGUGUUGAGGAUUGGAACUCAGAGCUUCAUAUAAAACAGGCAAGCAUCUUGUCGACUGUUGGUUACACACCUUCAGCCCUCGAUCAGCUCAAUCCUCGAGUUUCCACUUGUACAGUCUUCUUAGCAGUGUGAGAGAGAGCCCUGCCUUUGCUGGCUGUCCUGCCUGGGGUGGGGGAGGGGACCUUCGCUGUGUGCAGGCUUUCCUCUCUACCUGGUGUUCUCUCAGUUUACUCAGAGCCCCCCAGUCCUCAGCAUGGCUACUGUGACGCUGCAGCCUGCACGUGUGUCUCACUUCAUAACUGUCUCAAACAAAUGAUUUUAGAUGGCCGAUCACAGCAGCCUUCUGAGAGAAAGUGAUUGAAGCAGAAAGAAGAGGAAAGGGUAUUGAAAUAUAGGGUCCAAGGGGAACAACACCCAGGAUUAUAUAUGGAUUCAGCUCUUGGAGCCGGUGUAUUCAUUUUUGUGGUUUCAUCUGUCUGCUGCACCUGAAGGUCAGCUCCAGGAGGGCUGGGCCUCACUGCUUCAUCAAAUCUGGUGAUGUGAACGGCUGAGGAAAUGAUUUCUCAAGAAGGGUUCUGUUCAGGGUUCUGUUGGGACUGCGGAGAGGUGUCUGGGACUAGACAGAGAAAUGAGAGGGGCAGAGCCGCUUUCCUCAGAACCCCGCCCCUCUCUCUUCUCCUCCCUGUCCUCUUUUGCCCUCCUCCUCUCCUUCCCCCUGUGGAGGCAGACCUUGGUUAACCACUAUUUUUUUUUCAGCCAUCACGUGGUGCCCCCUAGUGGCCACCUGAAGCAGUGCAGCCAGUGACUGCUGCCCCCCAAGAGUCGGGAUUCAGAUGUCCCCGCUUCAGCCCCAGCACGCUCUGGCAGGUGGUCCUUCCCUUGCUCUCCAAGUAGCUCCAUCCCCAAUCGGCCCCGCCCCAAGCCCCUUCCCUCCAUUCCUGGGGUUUCUCUGCAAACUGGCCUUGGAACUGGAAACCUAAGGGUGACUCAAUUACUCUCAGAAACUAAAGUCGCUUUCCCUCCUGGUUCAUUUUUUGCCAGCCAUUUUUUAGGUAUGUUUUUCUCUUUUUGUCUCCUUCACACGUGGUGUGCCUAGUUCCUUUGGGCUUGCAUACUGAGUGCUCACUGUGUGCAACCGGCUGCACCUUCCCCACCCUGCGUGUUUGUGCUGAGAUGGACCGAGCGCAAGGAACCCCACAUCGUCUCCUUGUAGAAAUCCUACCCGGACCUGUCUCUACCAGCACGCGAGAGUGGGGUGUAACUACAGCUGAUUGCCCUCUUAUCUUAAUCAGAAGAGGAAAGGUGUCCAGACCCUUAUUUUAGUGAGUUUCUACCUAGAAACCCCGCCUAGUCACGUCGACCCAGGCAGUGUAGACACUGGAGUGGAUCAUUUCACAAAUGCUAAGUUCAGGAGCGACCUGCCUGUGUUCUAUCUUGUCCGUGCUACUACUCCUGGGCUGUCUGGGCUUAAGCAUGUGACCUAACUUUUCUGUGCCUCAGUUUCCCUAUCUCUUAAAUGAGGGUAACCCUGACGCCCUACCAUCCAUAGAUAGGACACCCGGAGGCUUAAGCACCUUAGCUCCUGCUGUGCUUGUAAUACAAGCGUGACCAUUAGCCUUUCUACAAUGUUUGCUAUUAUGUUACUGUUUUAUUGAUAGCAGCUUCCUAACGCCCCCCUCCCACACACACACACAUGAGAUCUGAGGGUAUUCCCACCCCCAAGAUGGAGGAGGAAUGAGGUUUCUCAAUAGUAGAAGAUAGAUUGGACCCUCCACAUUUUGCAUAGCUUUUCUAGCUUACCCAAGAGACGGAGUACCACAGGGAGGCACCUGCAUCUGCCACACCAGGAAUGGGGUAUGCAUAGAGCCUAUACACACAGGGCCUGGAUGUCACGUUUGCACACACAGCCUGUCACCCUGAACACCCCGUUUUAGAGUGAUGUAUUCAACCAAAGGCACAGAGUGCCCUCACAUGGCCACACACCUGACUGUCACUCGAGUUUUGGACAACCCAGGCAUCUGGGCACAGCCAUGAGGACAAUUGUCACACCCCGUUAUUGACAUAUAGCGGGAGCCGGACAAACACACCACAGAGAUUCUCAGGUCCUCAUGCCGGGUCACACAGCCAGUCACAGACAGACCCACAACUCCUAUCUGUCAUCACACUGGUCCUCGGGUCACCCUGCCCCCACUGUCACUCACACACUCUCUCACACGUACACACACCCUCUCCCAGUCACACCCCAAUUCACUCACAUUUGAACACGCAUACACACACACAAACUCCCCUGGGUCACACCCAGCCACAACACAAAGACACACGUUUCCCCAGCACCCAGGAGCUGCAAGCACCUGGCGCACAUUCCUGUCAGUCAUUCACACGUGAGUCCCGCCCCUUUCCCCACUAUAGGGGU